Molecule: long non-coding RNA, 298 nt
Filed under: Dromaius novaehollandiae (emu)
Lineage: Eukaryota; Metazoa; Chordata; Aves; Casuariiformes; Dromaiidae
Description: lncRNA (ENSDNVG00000016611.1)
Source: RNAcentral
CCAUCUGYCUGUAUUUCUCACUGUGCAGGUCAAUCCCCCUCCUCAGUAGGGCUCCUGAUCUAGCGUGGGGCUCCCUGACUCUGCAGAGCCCAUGCUAUCUACGUGUGAGAGGCACCAGCAGGAAGGCUGAAGCUUUCCUUACUUCUGCAGAGACUGCCCCCAAUGUCAGCAGAACUGCCUGAGCCAUCAGCUGUCACCCAGCAGGGAAGGUGAUCAUGCGCUGUCGUCAGGCAUGUCAUGAAGGUAGGUACAAUUGUAAAAUAUGUGAUUCUGCCUCCUCAGAGGAAGUCUUUUGUGU